RNAcentral lists this unclassified non-coding RNA (485 nucleotides) under uncultured fungus. RNAcentral describes it as "partial contains small subunit ribosomal RNA, internal transcribed spacer 1, and 5.8S ribosomal RNA". The stretch from base 1 to 73 matches the Rfam family "Eukaryotic small subunit ribosomal RNA", at positions 1759 to 1831 of the family's 1831-position model. Lineage: Eukaryota; Fungi. The record is from RNAcentral.
GCAAACUUGGUCAUUUAGAGGAAGUAAAAGUCGUAACAAGGUAACCGUAGGUGAACCUGCGGUUGGAUCAUUACCAAUUUUUUUAUAUUCCUUUUCUCUCCACACUUACUUUCUCUUCUCUUUGAGUUUGGGUGUGCGAGGAAAAGAAAUAUAAUAUAAACACACUGUGAACUUGUAAUCGUUUUUUUGGUGGUUCCUUGGGAGGGAAAGGGUGUUAGUAGAAUGACUUCUUCUCUCACUUUUCUUCCUUUGCGCUCCAAGUGGGGUGCGGUCCACCAAAAGGAACCCUCUCUCAUUCAGAGGGUUUCGAUUUAAACCCAACUACUCUAGUCUUUUUUUCUAUUAAAAGUCUUUUAUUUUUUGCUUUUCUUCUUUUCUCUCAUUCCUUUGGAAGUAAGAAAAAAAGGGAAGGGCAAAUUCAAGCCAAUUGAGAAACAACUUUUAACAACGGAUCUCUUGGCUCUCGCAUCGAUGAAGAACGCAGC